This is a long non-coding RNA of Thalassophryne amazonica, 4753 nucleotides long. RefSeq lists it as uncharacterized. The transcript has 2 exons. The record is from RefSeq and is a predicted model, not a curated record. Lineage: Eukaryota; Metazoa; Chordata; Actinopteri; Batrachoidiformes; Batrachoididae.
AAUGUGAACUGCAAUAAAGCUGCUUAUUGCUCUGUGAUGCUGCCGUCUUGAGAUAAAGGUGCUGCUGGGCUAAAGUGCUCGGUGUGGUCGAAAGUGAUAAAGCACAAAUGGAGCCACAGCAGGCAAACUGAAAACCUGCUAAACCAGACCACAGCAAAAAAACAUGUCUUUGGCUGGUGGAGUGAUGAUGCUACCAACUCACGAUGGCGUGCAUGUUUGACGCACUGUACAAUUACUGCAUUUACAAAGUCGGCCGUGGCCUCAGAAACAUCAGUAGCGUUCCUCUUAUGCUACCAGAGGCUGCAAUGCAUGAAGCAAUGGACGUGCAUUUCUACAUUGUAAGAGGAACAAAAAAAAAAAAUGCUGUCUGUUUUUCUUUAUCUUUCAAGGCAAUCACUGAACUCCAUUCAUUUGAAAAUAUAAACAGGCAUGCACAUAAAUGGUACUCACGGUGCUUGUGCAUGCUAAAAAUAAAUGAUGCGUGGCCAAAAACACAAGGGAAGCACUUCAUAGGAGGAAAGCAAUGAUAGAUUGUAGGAAGUGUUUCCCUCUGUGUGCCGCCUGCUGUGCAUCAAUGAUUUUUAGCACACACACGAGCAUAAUGAACACCAGUUAUGUGCACCGCUGAAUAUAAACAUAAGUAAAUGACUGGAAUGAAAGCUAAGUGGACAGUGUUGGAUGAUAACACCUGAGGACGCUCACACAGAUCAAAUGCCCAACUGUCACGUGUUUAUCCACCUUAACCAAAUGAAAGCGCAAAAUAAAAUUAAUAUCAAAAUCUAUGGUAAAAAUGUCAAAAAUUACCUUGGGUCAAAGUAUAACAGUGUAUAUAUACAGUAUGUCUGACAUGUAAAUAUAUAUCAAAUAUGUAACGGUGGGUUUACUCUGCCUCUCACCAUCUCGCUGGGAAAGGCUCCAGCCACCUGCAUUGUGACCCUCAACUCAAAUACACAAGUUCAAAAACUGGAUGGAUGAAUGUAUAAUCAACAUGUUCCUUGAUGUAACUGUUCAUGUUCAUACGAGUAACAAAUGGUGCCACACAGGUAAAGCAUAAUAAAAAAAAUUAAACAUGCUGAUCAAGAACAAAAAAAACCCCACAAAAUCACCCCACCAUUAACAUGUCACAUGACCACUAACUGUGGACAUCUGGUACCCAACUCAUUAAGGACUACAGGAAUCCAAUAGGAAAAUAUAAUCACAUAAAUCCCAUAGCAAUCAGGAUUCAAAAUUCAUAUAUGAUUCCAAUAGGAAUUCUGUAUUAAAGAGGAGAAAAAAAUAAAAAAUGUAAAAAUCUUGCAAAACGUAAAAGGGAUAAUUUUCAAGGUCAAAUGCAAAACUGCUGGACAGAUGUACAGACAGAAUUUUUACAAUUAUUUCUGUGUUUACGAUUUUCAUUGCAUUAAAUCACAAAACCUUACAGUGCUUGGUGAGAUAUCUGCCUAAAGUAUACAAUUUGCUGGUUUAUUUUUAUUACUUUUCAUGAUUAUUUUAGUAAUAAUUUACAUUUUGCUCUGAGUAACGGUAUAUGGCCAGUUGUCUAUGCCACUAUACCUUGCAUAUUAGAAACUAGAAUGUGGUAAAAGUUAAAAACUGAUCCAUGGAUAAGUGAAACAGAUGUUCAGUCAGGAUGAAGGCAAUAAGGGAUAAAGACAUAAAGAGCUUGGCUACAUCAUGCAGUAUAUGGAAAGACCCCAUUAGCAGCCUUAAGUGCGCAAAUUUCACAGAAGGCCCACUGAACAUUCUGGAUAGUACCCAAUGGUGUUUUAAGAAAUCUACCACAAAAUAUUCCCUGCUUUGUCCUGUCAAGUUCGCAGUCACCUCGCUAGAUUACAGUUGACACUAUAUGCCUACCGCUUUUCCUAUAUACUACAGAGCAAGAUAGGCCUCCUUGUUCAAAUAACUUAAUAAGGCUGUAUAGAAAGCGCCUAAAGUGUGUCCAUCUAUCCUGUGUGUGUCUGGGUCCGGAGCCCAUAUUCAGUUGCAAAGCCAUGAGGUAACGCAUCACGUGAUAAAUCUCUUUCCGAACCCAAACAAACUACGCACAUGGGUUUCUCUACAGCAAUGGCUGAGCCAGUCAUUUUGUUUACACUGACAAACUUCUUUUCUUGCGCACAAGAAUGGAAUAAAAAGGGCUUGAAUUUGUAUGAUUCUGAUCAAGUAAUGUCCGUAAAUGUUGCAAAUGGUGGAGGAUGCCGGCUGCCAUUAAACGCCACAGAAGAAGAGAGGGUGCAUUAGGUUUAUGUCAGAGAAGCAUGUUUUCAGGUCGGAGUGCAUUUCUGCCUUCAAAAAAUGCAUCAAGAAUCCACAGAAAAUGCAUAAAAGUACUUACUCAUAAUUGUUGUCAGUCUGGCUAAAUUGUCAGACUCUGACCCAGAUUAGGCAGCUAAUCUCGUUUUCCACAGCGGAGCGUGCGUUUGUUUAGUAACACCGGACCGCACCUUUCUGCAUUUACAAAAUGCCUCAAAAGUGCAUAAAAGUACUUACUUUUGUCAUAUUUGUUGUCAGUCUGGGUAAAUAGUCAUAAUAAUCUCAUUUCCUCAGCGGAGCGUUCGCAAGACAAAAACAAACGUGUUUUUGCCAUGGUAAGUGGUCAGAGAUGUUAUCUCCGACCACCAUUUAGCUCCGGCACAGUGAACUGAAUAACGAGUAAUUUAUAGAUUCUUAACGAUACCCGUCUCAUUUGCAAUCACUGAUCUAAAUUAAAUACUUCUGUGAAGGUGACAUUAACAUUAUCUGUUGGGUCCACUUGGCAGUAACAUGUCUAAUAUAGUCGUGUUUAUUUACCUUAUCAGCUGUAGCCAUCUACUUUUCUCUUUGCCAUUAGUGGGAAACCUAUAGAAAGACAAAUUCGGUGACGUUUCAAGUCGAUUGGUGCACAUGGGCACACAACACUGUAGCAUUCUUUCACUGUUUACACUGCGCCACCAGAACCAAUGAGUGCAGAGAAAAACACGUUUUCUUUGUUUGGGUCCAGAAGGAGAUUUAUCACGUGACGCGUUAUGUCAGACUUUGAAACUGAAUAAAGGCAAAGAGGUGGCGUGUGGGUGAGCCCAUAUGACCUGGGCAGGACAAGCCUUGGUUCUGAUAUUUAUUCAAUCAUAUUUUGUGGGGCUGUGUGGUGGUUCUCAUGGCGUGUGUGCAUUAAACUAUAUGACCCGCUUAUUUCCUCAAUCAUGGAUUAACAACCUAACGUCAUGAAUGCCAUCACUAUUACUAUCCAAAAUUACAUUACACGAUAUUUUCACUCGACAAAAAUAUGGCGCAGGUUUUAGAUGAUCCCUUCAGAGAAUUAAGCAAACAACAAGCCAUAUUAUUACAGAUACUUGGAAUAAAAUGAACUCCCCCCCCCAAAAAAAUAAAUAAAACUGGGCCUUCACAGCAGCUGCACCUGCCAAGCUUCUGACCAACCACAGUGUUAACAAGCCCAUGCGCGCAGACACACACAAAAAACACCUGUACAAAAGCUGUCAGUUAAAGGGGCCACACUCCUAAUGUGUUAGGAUAACUGGGCUUUCAUGAAUGUGAUAAUGAUCAUGAUGAUUACGGUGUCUAAAAGACAAUAGAUAUUUAAAUUAUACCAAUGAAAUUAAUUUAACAUCUAUUUUGAUCAAAGAUAUUUUCAUUUCUUCAGCUUGCUUUAUUAGAGUACAAGUACAUUCAAAGAUGACAAUAACUAAAUGACAACACCCAUAGCCAGAAUUUAUAGUCUUUUUCGAAAGCGUUCAUUCUCUGACUAAUAUAAUACUGUCAUUGCAUUUAUUUUUUUAAAUCUUUUGCCUCAUGCAUUCUAACUAACUGGUAUUGCUGCUCGUAAUAAUAACAAAAAGAUCACAUCAAUAUCCAUGUGGAGUGCUAAAGGGUCACUCAAUAUAAUUCAUAAUGCAUCCAAUAACACCAAGAAACAGGUUUCAGACGUUAUUAGAUUAGAUAUGAGUCAAAGUAUAUGAAUCAACAACUCAGUUAAAAUUAGACUAUUUAAUACUAGGGUUUCUCUGGCAAAGCAGAAUGUUUAGUUCAAAGAGGAGUUUGGUCAGUAGGAGAUCAAACAUGGUAAAUAGCCCUGCAUUAAUAGGUUAUGUAACACACUUUUUCAGGCUUGCAGCAUUGUAAGUGUUGCGGUUAUAUAUGACAAUGCAAAACAAAGAAAUAAUCAGAAAAACUUUAGGUCUGUACAUCUGUCCAGCUGUUUUACAUUUUGCAGAUGUUAGAGUGAUCCUUGGAAUCUGCCUUUCUACAUUUUGAGACAUGUUCCCGCAAUAUUUUACAUUUGGGGGUGUUUUAAAACACUUCUUCCAGAAAUCCCUGGAGAAUUUCUGUCCCCUCUCAUAGGAUUCUUCAAGGAAAAAGGUCUUAAAAGGUUCCUAAGGGGAUUCCUACAGGCUUCUUAUCCUAUAGGAUUCCUCCAGAAUAUUCCACAAUAAAAAGUCAUUUCAGUUUCCGACAGACAUCGUGUUGGACUUUUGCAUGGCUACCAGUAUCUUGUCCAACACUUAGCCACAGUUGGCGACACAAGCAUCCCAUAACCUACACCCACCCAUAAAUUACAUUCCCCUGUAUAAAGGUUUACCAUGAUUAAAUUUUCUUGGAAGUUGCACCACUGUAUCUAUUUUUUUUUUUAAAUGGCUGCUUGUAUGAGAGAGAAGCUUUUAACAUGCUAAAGAGCUUAACCACUAAUACCAGUGUCACUUUCACCUACUGAGGUGGUGAUGGUCAAGUGGGCUUUGACCAGAGAACCCUCAGUUUAAAGCGCCAA